CCUACGGGUGACCGCAGUGAGGAAUAUUGGUCAAUGGACGAGAGUCUGAACCAGCCAAGUAGCGUGAAGGAUGACUGCCCUAUGGGUUGUAAACUUCUUUUAUAAAGGAAUAAAACGAGGCACGUGUGCCUUUUUGCAUGUACUUUAUGAAUAAGGAUCGGCUAACUCCGUGCCAGCAGCCGCGGUAAUACGGAGGAUCCGAGCGUUAUCCGGAUUUAUUGGGUUUAAAGGGAGCGUAGAUGGGUUGUUAAGUCAGUUGUGAAAGUUUGCGGCUCAACCGUAAAAUUGCAAUUGAUACUGGUAGUCUUGAGUACAGUUGAGGUAGGCGGAAUUCGUGGUGUAGCGGUGAAAUGCUUAGAUAUCACGAAGAACCCCGAUUGCGAAGGCAGCUUACUAAACUGUGACUGACAUUGAUGCUCGAAAGUGUGGGUAUCAAACAGGAUUAGAUACCCUUGUAGUC
Molecule: ribosomal RNA, 460 nt
Filed under: uncultured bacterium
Lineage: Bacteria
Description: partial 16S ribosomal RNA
Rfam family: Bacterial small subunit ribosomal RNA
Source: RNAcentral